AUAUUGGGCGUAGAGCUCGUAGGCGGUUUGUCGCGUCUGCUGUGAAAUCCCGAGGCUCAACCUCGGGCUUGCAGUGGGUACGGGCAGACUAGAGUGCGGUAGGGGAGAUUGGAAUUCCUGGUGUAGCGGUGGAAUGCGCAGAUAUCAGGAGGAACACCGAUGGCGAAGGCAGAUCUCUGGGCCGUAACUGACGCUGAGGAGCGAAAGCGUGGGGAGCGAACAGGAUUAGAUACCCUGGUAGUCCACGCCGUAAACGUUGGGCGCUAGAUGUAGGGACCUUUCCACGGUUUCUGUGUCGUAGCUAACGCAUUAAGCGCCCCGCCUGGGGAGUACGGCCGCAAGGCUAAAACUCAAAGGAAUUGACGGGGGCCCGCACAAGCGGCGGAGCAUGCGGAUUAAUUCGAUGCAACGCGAAGAACCUUACCAAGGCUUGACAUACACCGGAAACGGCCAGAGAUGGUCGCCCCCUUGUGGUCGGUGUACAGGUGGUGCAUGGUUGUCGUCAGCUCGUGUCGUGAGAUGUUGGGUUAAGUCCCGCAACGAGCGCAACCCUCGUUCUAUGUUGCCAGCGCGUUAUGGCGGGGACUCAUAGGAGACUGCCGGGGUCAACUCGGAGGAAGGUGGGGAUGACGUCAAAUCAUCAUGCCCCUUAUGUCUUGGGCUUCACGCAUGCUACAAUGGCCGGUACAAAGGGCUGCGAUACCGUAAGGUGGAGCGAAUCCCAAAAAGCCGGUCUCAGUUCGGAUUGAGGUCUGCAACUCGACCUCAUGAAGUCGGAGUCGCUAGUAAUCGCAGAUCAGCAACGCUGCGGUGAAUACGUUCCCGGGCCUUGUACACACCGCCCGUCAAGUCAUGAAAGUCG
Molecule: ribosomal RNA, 862 nt
Filed under: Curtobacterium sp.
Lineage: Bacteria; Bacillati; Actinomycetota; Actinomycetes; Micrococcales; Microbacteriaceae
Description: bacterial SSU rRNA
Rfam family: Bacterial small subunit ribosomal RNA
Source: RNAcentral